UACAGAGACCUCAAGCGUUAUCCGGAAUUAUUGGGCGUAAAGCGUACCGACAGGUGGUUUACCAAGUCAGAUGUGAAAUCUCCGAGCUUAACUCGGAAUCUGUCAUUUGAAACUGGUAGACUAGAGGGGCAAAGAGGAAGCUGGAACGAACGGUGUAGUAGUGAAAUGCGUUGAUAUCGUUCGGAACACCAAUAGCGAAGGCGAGCUUCUGGGUGCCACCUGACACUGCUAGGACGAAAGCGUGGGGAGCGAAUGGG
This 257-nucleotide ribosomal RNA is filed under the name uncultured bacterium. Its description in RNAcentral is "partial 16S ribosomal RNA". It matches the Rfam family "Bacterial small subunit ribosomal RNA", at positions 524 to 776 of the family's 1533-position model. The record is from RNAcentral.